UGGGCUUGGCGAAAGUACGGCCAAAAACCCAUCAAAGGCUCUCCUUACCCCAGGUAUGUAACUCAACUAGCCGUAAACUUAACCCAUGUUUUGUCUGCAUCGAGGAGUAACUUUCAAAGUUUGAUAAAGAUUUCUGUUUUUAUCUUACGGCGGACAGAGGUUAUUACCGGUGUAGUAGCUCAAAGGGAUGUCCAGCAAGGAAACAAGUUGAGAGGAGCCGCGUGGACCCUAAAAUGUUAGUGAUCACCUAUUCCUACGAACACAAUCACCCUUGGCCCGCUUCUAG
Molecule: long non-coding RNA, 286 nt
Filed under: Gossypium barbadense (sea-island cotton)
Lineage: Eukaryota; Viridiplantae; Streptophyta; Magnoliopsida; Malvales; Malvaceae
Description: long non-coding RNA (GBAR_LNC017251)
Source: RNAcentral